RNAcentral lists this ribosomal RNA (253 nucleotides) under uncultured bacterium. RNAcentral describes it as "partial 16S ribosomal RNA". It matches the Rfam family "Bacterial small subunit ribosomal RNA", at positions 524 to 776 of the family's 1533-position model. The record is from RNAcentral.
UACGUAGGUGGCAAGCGUUGUCCGGAAUUACUGGGCGUAAAGCGCACGUAGGCGGAUCGAUCAGUCAGGGGUGAAAUCCCAGGGCUCAACCCUGGAACUGCCUUUGAUACUGUCGAUCUGGAGUAUGGAAGAGGUGAGUGGAAUUCCGAGUGUAGAGGUGAAAUUCGUAGAUAUUCGGAGGAACACCAGUGGCGAAGGCGGCUCACUGGUCCAUUACUGACGCUGAGGUGCGAAAGCGUGGGGAGCAAACAGG